AUUGAACGCUGGCGGAAUGCUUUACACAUGCAAGUCGAACGGCAGCACGGGGGCAGCCCUGGUGGCGAGUGGCGAACGGGUGAGUAAUACAUCGGAACGUGCCCGGUCGUGGGGGAUAACGUAGCGAAAGUUACGCUAAUACCGCAUACGAUCUGAGGAUGAAAGCGGGGGACCUUCGGGCCUCGCGCGAUCGGAGCGGCCGAUGUCAGAUUAGGUAGUUGGUGGGGUAAAGGCCUACCAAGCCGACGAUCUGUAGCUGGUCUGAGAGGACGACCAGCCACACUGGGACUGAGACACGGCCCAGACUCCUACGGGAGGCAGCAGUGGGGAAUUUUGGACAAUGGGCGCAAGCCUGAUCCAGCCAUUCCGCGUGGAGGACGAAGGCCUUCGGGUUGUAAACUGCUUUUGUACGGAACGAAAAGGCUCUGGCUAAUACCUGGGGCUCAUGACGGUACCGUAAGAAUAAGCACCGGCUAACUACGUG
This 484-nucleotide ribosomal RNA is filed under the name uncultured bacterium. RNAcentral describes it as "partial 16S ribosomal RNA". It matches the Rfam family "Bacterial small subunit ribosomal RNA", at positions 30 to 507 of the family's 1533-position model. The record is from RNAcentral.